RNAcentral lists this long non-coding RNA (2798 nucleotides) under Equus asinus (donkey). RNAcentral's name for it is "lncRNA (ENSEASG00005025049.1)". Lineage: Eukaryota; Metazoa; Chordata; Mammalia; Perissodactyla; Equidae. The record is from RNAcentral.
AGGCAGAAUAGAAGACAUGUGCUCCUCAAAACCAGGAAGGGGAGAGAAAGGCCAGGCCCAGCAGGCAGGCAGCAUCAGUCAGGACCACGCUCAGCUGCGUGGAGGAGAGAGCUGGCUUCUUUGGCUUAGACAAGGGUGGCAAUGUUUUCCUCACUAAUGAGGAAUCUGGGCGGGGCAGUCCAGAGUAGGUGCUGGUGCCCGAGAAACUCGUGAGGACCUGGCUCCUUCUCGCUGCUCCUCAGUCACCUUGGCGUCGCGUUUAUGCUCCAGUCAAGGUAAAGGGGGAGGAACAGCCUUGGAGAUGGUGCCACGGAAGCUCCACCCUGUGAGUUUUGCCUCCAUUUGCAGUCAGCCAGCACUGAUUUCCAUGGCCUCUUCUGAUCAGAAGGGAAUCCGGGAGAGCAGAGGAGUUGUAACUGGCUGCUUUGCCACCCCAAAUAGAAUCGAGUUCUCUUGAUUUCCUGGGAUCUGAAGGAAGUUCAUUUCUGAAGGCAAACUGGAGGCCCAUGCCACAACCCAGUGCCGAUCCACGUCCCCUUAUUUUGGUGUUGCUGCUAGCACAGGAGAUGCGCAGUGUCUCAGAAACCGAUCUGCAUCUUGGCGAUUGAGAUGAGAUUUGUUUGGUAGAAAAACCAAAUGGUUUUCUAGAUGUUGGCUGUACAAAUCAUGAGGACUGCGCGAAAGUAAUGGGCUGAGCUGACUGCCAACAGGAACUGCUAUUUAAAGAUGGGUGUGGUGCUCAAGGAGCUACUGGAGUGGACACCGCCCAGCCUGGACCCCUCUGGCAGGCCACUUCCCCAGCUUCCAGGAGUGUCGGCUGCGAAUAUCGCACAGCUUCCCUUUCUCCAGAGAAUUGCCCUGGGCCAACAGAAGCCUCUUUGCAGGAGGCCACUGUCCUCUCCACCCAGCCUGUAGUAAAUGAUGGACGGGACAGGAGGGGUACAAAAGCCAAGGUGCCUUGCUGGAGGGUCUCCCCCUCUUCCCCAGCCUGCUUCCCUCAGCUCCUGCAGCUUCUUCCUUUCAAGGACCCUCUCAGUGGAUCCCGGACCCCUGAAUUCUGUCUCAGGCUCUGCCUCAGGGAGCCCAGCCCUUCCCUAUCUUACUGUUGAAGACACGUGGGUGUGAGAGGUGGAGACAUAGGGGCGCCCUUGCUCUUCUGUGCCUGCAGUCGAUUUGGCAGGUUGCUUCUCGUGUGCUCUCUGCAGAAACAGAUGCCCUUGCGAUGACUGCAUCCGGGACCUCUGCGGACUUGAGCAGUUAUUUGAGUUCCAACUUUCACCAGUUGUGAGAAGACUUUAAAUAUUCUGACCCUAAACCGUCUUGGGAUGGCUGAUGUCAUGAAAAUUCUUGAGUCAUAGAAGCCAUUUGGUGUUUAUUCUGCUGAGAGUGUUUUGCAGAAUCUUUCAUCCUUGAGCCUUCUGUUGUAGUCUCAGGUGUCUGGCUGGGGCCCUUCUAACAAAACACAGAUGAAUAAGAGAAAAGCAUAGAAAUUUAUUUAACAUAAGGUGUAUAUGACAUGGGAGACUUCGUGAGAAAACGAGGACCUGAAGAAGCGAUUGAACCUGAGUGUUUUUAUACUAGGUUUGAUGAAGAGCGGAAAGUCAUGGAAAAUGCGAUAGGGCAAAGAGUAUGAGCUGAGGGGAGUGAACUGGGGAAACACAGCAAGGCCUCUUGGUCCAGAUCCUUCUCAGCAUCCCUCCUUCCUCGGAGGUAAGGAUGCUCCUCUCCUCGGGCACCAGGAGGGCCUCUCUCAUGAGGGUUUAGUGACCUGCUUCAGGGAGGGUCAGAGGGUCCUUCCUGCACCUGCUGUUUCUCAAAUUUCAGCUUAAACUAUUCAAUAUGCCAAGGUGCCAUAUUUUGGGCUGUCGUGUCCUGAGCCCUGUCGUGGGGUAUAUUGAAAGCUUUCAACAUCACUAGCAUUUCAUUGCUUCUUUAUAAAUGGACUGAAAUGGGAAUUUCUCCCAAUUCCUAUCUUUCUGUUUUUCUUAACUCAAAUUCAUGACUGAGAUAAUUGUAAUUUUCUUCUUGACUUCUAGUGUGAUUUAACAGGAUGCUCUAUGACCAAUAGCAUAUACGUUAGUGGCAGUUGACCCCUCAAUUUUGAGAUAUGUUUAACUGUUUUUGAUUCCUCAAGCUCAAAUCAUGAAUGUACCCAAAUAAAGAAUAAAAUACUCUUCUUGAAAACACACACGCAGUAAAAUAGUAAAUAUGAACAAAGGAUCUGGUGCUGGCACAUGUUAAAAUUCAGGUAAUGAUGCUCUUUCUCUGUUUUGAAAAAAGUUAAAAUGCCACAUAGGUGCUCAGUCCAGGAAGGAAAGUCUUCACAAUCUACUUUGUUCAUGAGAUGCUUUAACAAUAAACAGCAUGGCUAUUCUGGAAGCACCUGUUAAACCAAUUAUAUGGCAAAUUUUCAAGUUCUAGAAUGAGCAGAUUUGUAAUUGGUGAAAAAUUUGAUAACCAAGAGAAGACAGGCUCUCGAGGAGACAGCAGGCGGUGAACAGGGAGUGUGUGAGCGGGAUCUUGCUGGUGUCUGUGUCUUACUGCAACCUGGAAAUUAGACACUUUUACAUGCAAUAUUUUUUUUUCACAUAACAGUUCCCAAAUAAACAGUUAAAGCAGUUUCCGGUGAUUAAGGCAAUAUAGGGGAUUAGUUUUGUUAUGUAUAAUCACCUUUGCUUCUCCUUUAUUGAUGAAAAGAGUUUUUCUCAGCGGGUUGUGUUAUCUAUUUUAGAUGUUGCCUGAUCUUGUUUUUUAAAUGUAAAUCAGCUUUUUAAUCUUUUUUUAUGUAAAUUUGAUAG